GGCGUUUCCCGUCCCUAGACGGCAGGGUCCGGGUGGCUCCGGCACACCGGGGCCGGGCCCGUCCCGCUGGGGCGACCGCGGGGGUCGCCCCCGAAGCGCGCCCAUGCCGGCUCCCCCAGCUGCCGCCACGUCUCGGCUCCAAGUGGCAGCCCGGUUGUUUUGUUUAAUUAAACUCAAUGUCAGUGUUCAUUUUCCGCCUGGCCGGGCAGCCCUGCCUUCGCCGGAGCCGCCGUGUUGGUUACAGAUGUCAGGACGCCCCGUCGGGGCUGCGCCGAGCCCGCGGAGCCGCGUGGCGCCGGCCACGCGUGUCCGCGGCGGCGGGCUGGGCGCUGGGAGGAGCAGGGAAGGGGCUUCCCUGGCAAAGCUGUCCCCCCCCCCCUUCACCCGCAACUCGGUCCCGCGUGGGCGAGCAGCGUGGCGUUUCACCAGCUUUGUGACAGGGGCGCCCCCUCGGCCCCCUACGGAGCGCCCCCGUCCCCUGGCUGCGCAGGGACAGCAGGGCAGGGGGUGCUGCGGGCGGGCCGGGGGGGUCAGAGGCACUGUGCGGCUCUGGAGGGGGGCACAGGGGAAGGACAAGGAGCUGGAGAAAUGCUGAAGAGCCCCAGCCUACUGAGUCCCUGCUCUGACCACAGCUACCGCGCGUCUCCAGCCGCCGGCCUCCCCGUCCUUCCCCGCAGCCUCCCCGGCUCCUCUCCUGCCAUCGCCACGCUCUGCUCUGCUCUUUCCCAGGUCAUUUUGCCUCUUUGCCCCCCUGCCAGCUGGCGAUGCGAGCUGUUCAAAGCCACGUCCACAGCCCGGAGCUCUCCCGCAGCCGCCUCGUUGUUGCGUGGGCAGCGGAUUUGCGUUCUCCGUGCACGCUCACCACCGAAUCCCCUUCUCAUUUUAAGGCUUUUAUCAGCGCAGAGCCCCUUCUAUCCCCCUCCGCACAGUGCUAGGGCUGUACCAGCGCUGGAUGUUGGCACUUGGCAGCUUCCUCCCUUUCCCCAGCCACUUCCGAGCCUCCCGAGCACCGCGCUCCUGCGCCGCGGAGGCUCCCGCGGUGACCCCUCCGCUGCGGGAGCCCCAGGUUUUGUUACGCCACUUUGUCUCCUAACUUUUAACCGGUUAUUCAUUCCCGAGCUGCUUUUCAAACUUCCCUUCUCAGCAACGGGACCGGCCUUAUUUACCAAACAAUCAGGUUUAUUGCUGUUUCUACUCAUUCUUUGUUACAAUUUCUAUCUGUUUUCCCCAUUAAACUCGGGACGUUGUGAUUUUCCGGACCCCCCGUCGAGCCCUUUUUCGGAAGUUGGCUAUCCUCCAUUCCUAUUUACAAAGACCGAUUCACACAGGAGGCUACGCUCCAGCUACUGAAAUAGCCAUUUCAUAUUUAAGUCCUUCCAAAACUCCUGUGGAAAUCUCAUCUUUUGUCGCUAUUUAUUUCUGUGGGAGCAGCUUCUGCGACCUUUUCCACCACUACCUGGCCUGCGAGCGCACCCAGCUCCCGUAAGAAAGCCUCCUGUGGGGGAAUUUCUUUAAGGUCUUGGGAGCAAUUGCCAGGGCAGGGGAU
Molecule: long non-coding RNA, 1546 nt
Filed under: Anser brachyrhynchus (Pink-footed goose)
Lineage: Eukaryota; Metazoa; Chordata; Aves; Anseriformes; Anatidae
Description: lncRNA (ENSABRG00000021917.1)
Source: RNAcentral